UUGCUACACAAACCAAGGUACCUGGGGCUGGAGUGUCACUUAGAGGGCCUGCGUGGGGAAGGCCACGAGCUCAGCUGCACACAGCCAGCUGGCCCAUCAGCAGUGUGGCACCAGACAGACUCGGAUGAGGAACCAGAGUGCCGGCAGCCACAUGUCCUGGCAUCUUUGUGUCUCGACGAAGUGAUACAAUUUCUAAUUGGAAACCGCCCGCCUGCGGAGACACUGAGCCAGGGUCGAGAGAGAUCCAGAUGCUUUCUUCGUGGAGUCUAGAAGACAGACACAACCCCUGUCCGUCCUGGCCAGUCCGGAUGUUUCCUCAGCCAUGAUCCUGGGGGAAGGAGCACAGGCCAGGGUCAAGCAAGAUCUGAGCUUGUAGUUCCAGCCAUGAGACCCUCGAUCAUGGCCAUCAGCUUCCCUUUCUGCUCCUGUGGAUCACAUCUGGGAAACGGAGGAUUCAGCUCAGCAGGGCCUAACUGCCCUCCUUCCAGUCUAAAAUCCCAUCGUCAUUAUCUUCAAGUGGGCCACGGAGGCCACAGGAGAAGUCCUCCUCAAAUUAAGUCCUUUCCCAAAUGUGCUUAAUCUUGGCUACUAGUCCCUCAAAUCCUUCCACUUAGACAAGUCUGUCUCCACCUUGGCUCCUCAUAAGAUCACCUGGGGAGCUUUGAAAAGCUCAACACCCAGGCUGUAGCCCAGGACAAUUAUAUCAGCCUCCCUGGAGGUAGGGCCCAGGCAUCGUGUGUGUGUGUGUGUGUGUGUGUGUGUGUGUGUGUGUGUGUU
Molecule: long non-coding RNA, 777 nt
Organism: Mastomys coucha (southern multimammate mouse)
Lineage: Eukaryota; Metazoa; Chordata; Mammalia; Rodentia; Muridae
Exons: 3
Source: RefSeq, a predicted model, not a curated record